Molecule: long non-coding RNA, 1084 nt
Filed under: Capsella grandiflora
Lineage: Eukaryota; Viridiplantae; Streptophyta; Magnoliopsida; Brassicales; Brassicaceae
Description: long non-coding RNA (CGRA_LNC000532)
Source: RNAcentral
AUUCAUAUCAUCAAGAAGUUUUUGAAGAAGCGCAGCAUUACUUCCUGUGAGAACCAUAUCGUCAACAUAGAGCAGUAAUAGCAUGAUAUUUGUUCCUUUCUCAUACACAAACAGAGAAGGAUCUUGCAUACUGCAUUUAAACCCAAAUUCCAGUAAGUAUGUGCUGAACUUAUCAAACCAGGCUCUGGUUUCAACCCAUAGAGUGAUUUGUGGAGCUUCCAAACAUGAUCUGGUUUUACGUUAUCUGUAAAACCAGUUGGUUUGAGCAUGUAUACAGUUUCUGUUAGAUCCCCAUGCAAAAAUGCAUUUUUAACAUCCAACUGUUUGAUUUCCCAUUGCAUCACAGUAGCAGCAUGAAGAACUAGGCGCACUGUAGCUGUUCUAACAACUGGACUGUAUGUUUCAAAAUAAUCAAUUCCCUCUUCUUGGUGAAACCCUUUUGCAACAACUCUUGCUCUAAGCUUGCCUAAUGAACCAUCUGAGUUGAGCUUUGUUCUAAAAACCCAUUUACACCCAAGAACAUUCAUAUCUGGUUUGUAAGGUACUAGAGAGAAAGUUUUAGUUUCAAUGCACGUGUCAAUUUCUUCUUGCAUUGCAUCCUUCCAGCCUGCAUCUUUCAAUGCUUCUGUAACUGUUCUUGGUUCUGGAUACGUAGCCUUUUGAGUGAGCAGAGCAUAGCGCGGGUUUGGUUUUCUUAUUCCUGCUUGAGCCCUGGUGGUCAUAGGGUGCGUGCUUUGACUGAGAGCUGGGGCAUGUUGGAUAGAUGCACUUGUUGAUUGAUGUUCAGCAGCUUGUUGAGGAGCAACAGAUGAGGUAGUCACAUUAGGUGAAGUGAGAGCGUUGUCGCCAAUAGAAGCAGGAUCUAAGCCUGUCGUACGUUCAAUUUACUCUCCCUCCACCGUAUGACUCUCACUGGAGCUAGCAGAGACUUCAAGAUUAGACGAUGAGGAUUGAACAGUAGAUGGAGUUGCAGGUUGAACUACAGAGUGAGUUGCAGGUUGAUUUGUACACUGCAAUGGAGGGAAAUCUUCAUCAGUGAACAAUGAUUUCUGCUUUUCCAAGUGAGGCUGGCACUGACUUGUUG